GAUCCUGGGCCCAGUCUGUGCUGACUCAGCCGCCCUCCGUGUCUGGGGCCCCGGGACAGAGUGUCACCAUCUCCUGCACUGGAAGCAGCUCCAACAUCGGGAUUGCUGGUGUGAACUGGUACCAGCAGCUCCCAGGAAAGGCCCCCAAACUCCUCAUCUAUGGUAGUACCGGUAGACCCUCGGGGGUCCCCGACCGAUUCUCCGGCUCCAGGUCUGGCAGCUCGGGCACCCUGACCAUCAGUGGGCUCCGGGCUGAGGACGAGGCCGAGUAUCACUGCCAGUCCUAUGACAGCAGCCUUGAUGCUCACGGUGCUGCAGGCCUGUGGGGAAACCCCUGA
This is a non-coding RNA of Rhinolophus ferrumequinum (greater horseshoe bat), 338 nucleotides long. The record is from the annotation of a RefSeq genome assembly. NCBI's taxonomy places the organism in Eukaryota, Metazoa, Chordata, Mammalia, Chiroptera, Rhinolophidae.